RNAcentral lists this ribosomal RNA (454 nucleotides) under uncultured bacterium. RNAcentral's name for it is "bacterial SSU rRNA". It matches the Rfam family "Bacterial small subunit ribosomal RNA", at positions 339 to 795 of the family's 1533-position model. The record is from RNAcentral.
GUACGGGAGGCAGCAGUGAGGAAUCUUGCGCAAUGGGCGAAAGCCUGACGCAGCGACGCCGCGUGGAGGAUGACGUUCUUCGGAAUGUAAACUCCUUUUGUGAGGGAAGAAACGCCGAUUGGUCGGCCUGACGGUACCUCAUGAAUAAGCUCCGGCUAACUUCGUGCCAGCAGCCGCGGUAAUACGAGGGGAGCAAGUGUUGUUCGGAUUUACUGGGUGUAAAGGGAGCGCAGGCGGUCUUGUAAGUCAGAGGUGAAAUGUCCACGCUUAACGUGGUCACUGCCUUUGAAACUGCUUGACUUGAGUAUUGGAGAGGGUAACGGAAUUCCAGGUGUAGCGGUGGAAUGCGUAGAUAUCUGGAAGAACACCAGUUGCGAAGGCGGUUACCUGGCCAAGUACUGACGCUCAGGCUCGAAAGCUGGGGGAGCAAACAGGAUUAGAUACCCCGGUAGUC